RNAcentral lists this ribosomal RNA (1264 nucleotides) under uncultured organism. RNAcentral's name for it is "bacterial SSU rRNA". It matches the Rfam family "Bacterial small subunit ribosomal RNA", at positions 81 to 1377 of the family's 1533-position model. The record is from RNAcentral.
GCAUUGGAGGGAGAGUGGCGAACGGGUGAGUAACACGUGGAUUAUCUGCCUUCAGGUUGGGGAUAACCACCCGAAAGGGUGGCUAAUACCGAAUAAUAUGGCAACAUUAAAGGUGGGGACUUUCGAGCCUAUCGCCUGAAGAUGAGUCCGCGGCCCAUUAGCUCGUUGGUAGGGUAAUGGCCUACCAAGGCUACGAUGGGUAGCCGGCCUGAGAGGGUGACCGGCCACAUUGGGACUGAGACACGGGCCAGACUCCUACGGGAGGCAGCAGUGAGGAAUAUUGCGCAAUGGACGAAAGUCUGACGCAGCGACGCCGCGUGGGCGAUGAAGGCCUUCGGGUCGUAAAGCCCUUUUCUGGGGGAAGAGAAAGGACGGUACCCCAGGAAUAAGCCCCGGCUAACUACGUGCCAGCAGCCGCGGUAAAACGUAGGGGGCAAGCGUUAUCCGGAUUUACUGGGCGUAAAGAGCGUUGAGGCGGUUUCGUAAGUUGGGCGUGAAAGCCCUGGACUUAACUCAGGGAAGCCGUUCAAUACUGCGAAACUUGAGGGCAGCAGAGGGAGGUGGAAUUCCCGGAGUAGCGGUGAAAUGCGUAGAUAUCGGGAGGAACACCAGUGGCGAAGGCGGCCUCCUGGGCUGCUCCUGACGCUGAAGGCGAAAGCUAGGGGAGCAAACGGGAUUAGAAACCCCGGUAGUCCUAGCUGUAAACGAUGGAUGCUAGGUGUGGGGGGUGUAGAUUCCCUCCGUGCCGCAGUUAACGCGUUAAGCAUCCCGCCUGGGGAGUACGGCCGCAAGGCUAAAACUCAAACGAAUUGACGGGGGCCCGCACAAGCAGCGGAGCGUGUGGUUUAAUUCGAUGCUACACGAAGAACCUUACCUGGGCUUGACAUACAGGUAGUAGUGAAGUGAAAGCGGAUCGACCCUUCGGGGAGCCUGUACAGGUGCCGCAUGGCUGUCGUCAGCUCGUGCCGUGAGGUGUCGGGUUAAGUCCCGUAACGAGCGCAACCCUUGCUCUUAGUUAUACGUGUCUAAGAGGACUGCCGGCGGUAAGCCGGAGGAAGGUGGGGAUGACGUCAAGUCAGCAUGGCCUUUAUGUCCAGGGCUACACACACGCUACAAUGGCCGGUACAAUGGGUAGCUAAACCGCGAGGUGGAGCCAAUCCUGUAAAGCCGGUCUCAGUUCGAAUUGCAGGCUGCAACUCGCCUGCAUGAAGUCGGAGUUGCUAGUAAUCGCAGGUCAGCAAUACUGCGGUGAAUACGUUCCCGG